RNAcentral lists this unclassified non-coding RNA (240 nucleotides) under soil metagenome. RNAcentral describes it as "partial contains 5.8S ribosomal RNA, internal transcribed spacer 2, and large subunit ribosomal RNA". The record is from RNAcentral.
AACGCACGAGACCUGCGGACCUGCGGAGGGAUCAUUACAAGAGAGUGAAAACUCCCUAAACCCACUGUGAACCUACCUGAGUCGACGUUCUUCGGCAGGCGGCCCCGGGGGGGCCGCAGCCCGCCUUCGGGCGGGCGCCUGCCGGAGGGCACACCAAAACUCUUGCUGUUUUGUUACUGUCUGAGUCUUUAAAAAAUAAAUCAAAACUUUUAACAAUGGAUCUCUAGAUCGGAAGAGCAC